This 256-nucleotide ribosomal RNA is filed under the name uncultured prokaryote. Its description in RNAcentral is "partial 16S ribosomal RNA". It matches the Rfam family "Bacterial small subunit ribosomal RNA", at positions 525 to 777 of the family's 1533-position model. The record is from RNAcentral.
ACGGAGGGUGCGAGCGUUGUCCGGAAUCACUGUGCGUAAAGGGCGCGUAGGCGGUGCGAGAAGCGUGUGGUGAAAGGCCGGGGCUCAACUCCGGCUCGGCCGUGCGGACUCUCGCGCUUGGUGAGUGCUGUAGAGGCGGGCGGAAUUCCGGGUGUAGCGGUGGAAUGCGUAGAGAUCCGGAAGAACACCGGUGGCGAAGGCGGCCCGCUGGGCAGUGACUGACGCUGAGGCGCGACAGCGUGGGGAGCAAACAGGA